AAUUUUGAAGCACCGACAUCUAAAGAAAAUUACACAUAUAUUCACGGUGCCUUGUUUGUGGGUAUUCAAUCAACAAGGUCGAGAAAAUGUUUCGGUUUCUAUUAAAUUCCCAAUACGACUAUGUACAAAGUGGUUAAGACAUGAUGUGCCAAGCCUUUUCUGGCCUAUUUUCCAGAAAAUCAAAAUUCUGUACACCAGAUACAGGGACAUAGUGUCAGAUGUAGCAGAGAUAUUCUCAUAUUGGCCCAAACUCCACCUCCAUCAAGCCGUUCUGUAUUUAGAGGUAUAACAGGGCUGUCAAAACUGGAUGCAACCCCACAUAAGAUGCGAUUAAUAGAAUGUUCGCAAGCUAAAGGCCAUCUGUAAUAGACGAGCUAGUGAUUUGAGGGCCUUGUCCAAUUUAAGUGAUUCCACAGUGGUUCGUAACUUAUUCAGUGAAAUGUCAAGAAUAGCUGUGGAUUUUUUAAUUGCACAAUUUGCGUUGUGGGAAAAGAAGUCCCAAAGGUCAAAGAUGAACAACAAAAGAGAAAGUGACCUUGAA
Molecule: long non-coding RNA, 541 nt
Organism: Anoplophora glabripennis (Asian longhorned beetle)
Lineage: Eukaryota; Metazoa; Arthropoda; Insecta; Coleoptera; Cerambycidae
Exons: 3
Source: RefSeq, a predicted model, not a curated record